RNAcentral lists this ribosomal RNA (253 nucleotides) under uncultured bacterium. RNAcentral describes it as "partial 16S ribosomal RNA". It matches the Rfam family "Bacterial small subunit ribosomal RNA", at positions 524 to 776 of the family's 1533-position model. The record is from RNAcentral.
UACGGAGGGUGCGAGCGUUGUCCGGAAUCACUGGGCGUAAAGGGCGCGUAGGUGGUGGCUUAAGCGUGCGGUGAAAGCUCGGGGCUCAACCCUGGGUCUGCGGUGGGUACGGGCAGACUAGAGUGUGGUAGGGGAGACUGGAAUUCCUGGUGUAGCGGUGAAAUGCGCAGAUAUCAGGAGGAACACCCGUAGCGAAGGCGGCACUCUGGGCCGAUACUGACACUGAGGAGCGAAAGCGUGGGGAGCGAACAGG